UAGAGUUUGAUCCUGGCUCAGAACGAACGCUGGCGGCACGCCUCAUACAUGCAAGUCGAGCGAGAAAUCACCUUCGGGUGACGUAAAGCGGCGAACGGGUGAGUAACAGGUGGGUAAUCUGCCUCCUGGCGGGGGACAACAGCUGGAAACGGCUGCUAAUACCGCAUGUGGUUGUGCGCUUAUGGCGUGCAAAGAAAGGCGCUUCACGGCGUCACCAGGAGAUGAGCCCGCCCCCCAUUAGCUGGUUGGUGAGAUAACAGCUCACCAAGGCAUCGAUGGGUAGCCGAGCUGAGAGGUUGAUCGGCCACACUGGAACUGAGACACGGUCCAGACACCUACGGGUGGCAGCAGUAGGGAAUAUUGCGCAAUGGGCGAAAGCCUGACGCAGCGAUGCCGCGUGAGUGACGAAGGUCCUAGGAUUGUAAAGCUCUUUUCUGAGGGAAGAAUAGGUCCGGUAGGAAAUGAUCGGAUUCUGACGGUACCUCAGGAAUAAGGAACGGCUAACUCCGUGCCAGCAGCCGCGGUAAUACGGAGGUUCCAAGCGUUGUUCGGAAUUACUGGGCGUAAAGGGAGCGCAGGCGGACAGGUCAGUUUAAAGUGGAAUCCCAGGGCUCAACCCUGGACGUGCUUUGGAUACUGCCUGUCUUGAGUUCGUGAGAGGAAAGUGGAAUUCAGGGUGUAGCGGUGAAAUGCUUAGAUAUCCUGAGGAACACCAGUGGCGAAAGCGACUUUCUGGCACGAAACUGACGCUGAGGCUCGAAAGCAUGGGUAGCGAACGGGAUUAGA
This 786-nucleotide ribosomal RNA is filed under the name uncultured Gammaproteobacteria bacterium. Its description in RNAcentral is "bacterial SSU rRNA". It matches the Rfam family "Bacterial small subunit ribosomal RNA", at positions 1 to 782 of the family's 1533-position model. Lineage: Bacteria; Pseudomonadati; Pseudomonadota; Gammaproteobacteria. The record is from RNAcentral.